Molecule: ribosomal RNA, 266 nt
Filed under: Segatella copri
Lineage: Bacteria; Pseudomonadati; Bacteroidota; Bacteroidia; Bacteroidales; Prevotellaceae
Description: partial 16S ribosomal RNA
Rfam family: Bacterial small subunit ribosomal RNA
Source: RNAcentral
CAUCUGAAAGAGAUUAAAGAUUUAUCGGUGAUGGAUGGGGAUGCGUCUGAUUAGCUUGUUGGCGGGGUAACGGCCCACCAAGGCAACGAUCAGUAGGGGUUCUGAGAGGAAGGUCCCCCACAUUGGAACUGAGACACGGUCCAAACUCCUACGGGAGGCAGCAGUGAGGAAUAUUGGUCAAUGGACGAGAGUCUGAACCAGCCAAGUAGCGUGCAGGAAGACGGCCCUAUGGGUUGUAAACUGCUUUUAUAAGGGAAUAAAGUGAG